CUGGUCUGUCUCGCAGAAGAGCUUCAGAGCCUCCCCGUGCUGCUCGCACACCAUCUUGCCCCCGGCUCCCUCCGCUGACCCCACGCUCAGGCCCUUGACCACUUCGACUAAAUUGCCUAACUGCCUGUUUGGGCCCAGGAGCCUCUGGGCAAAGGUCUGUCUGCACUGGGGGCAGGUGACGUCCGUCUCGGCCCCCUCCCAGCACUGGGCGAUGCAGGCUCGGCAGAAGUUGUGCCCGCAGCCCACGAUCAUCACCGGGUCCCUGAACAACUCCAGGCAGACAGAGCAGGUCGCCUCGUCCCAGAGGCUUUGUACAGCGCUCGCUGCGGCCAUGGCUGUGAGACGGGAGGGCACGGGGCUACUUUCACUUUCCUGAGCUCAGGGCUGGGCUCACCCCAAGCCAUUUCCUUCCUGCGAAAGAACGGCACUGAUGCUGAGCUGGGAGGAGCCAGGGUCAAGAUCCAGCCCUGGGAUUGCAGGGGAUCUGGUAACCCUUUGUGGAGCAGCAGCUCGGCACAACUCCAGUGAAAACAGCAGAAAAAGGGUUUGAAGCCACUACACAACAAUUCAACACACCCAGCAUUUCUCACUGUAUCUGCUGUCAGCCAAGAGCUUUUCAGAGCUGUCAGGACUGUUAUUUGGGGCUGAGACCUGCCUAAAAGCUCAGAGCAGGCAGGUCUGGGUAGAUCUGAUAUCUUUGAUUCAACCAAGUAAAUAGUUGGGAAAAAGUUCUUUGCAAGUUUUUGGGCACAGACACCCUCUUCAAACAUUAGGAGACUCCUCUGCUGUUACUCUGAAGUUGGCGCAAGCAGGCAUAUUUACUGCACAGUACGGGUGUGCACAUGUAGACACGCACCCAUACUGUGCAGUUAUUUCAGUUACUGCACAGUAAAUGCGUACGUGUAGUUGCACCCAGCGUCUAUCGGAGCACUACAAUCCCUCCCUGCCUCCAAGGAGUCUCCAGGCAGCUCCCAGGGAGGGUUGUAACCACUGAAGGGAAACUCAUGCCUCUUGUCUCCUGGUUUCAAAUGUGGAAUUAAACAAAAUGAAUGCCUUAAACUUUGGUCAAGCUAAAACUAUGAGUCGUAAGAAGACCCUGGCAGCUGAGUGGGGAAUUGCUGGCUCUGCAUAUUAGAACAGACAGGGAAAAUGUUUGUUCUUUGUGUGACGGGCUGGCUGGCAGUGACCUAGCCCAGGGAUUUUGAAAGGGCAAUAGAUGAUUGGAGGACUUGGGAUUCCCUUUCCUCACCAAUCAGGCUCAGAGAUUCACCCCUCAUGUCCCGUGAUUGGCUCCUUCGGUCACCUGGAGGGGGAUAAAAGGGGCAGCAGGGCUGACUCAGGAAAAGACCAGUGAGCGACUAUGAGGAAGGAGCUUCAAAGAGCUGGUAAGAGCUGAGCCAGGGGGGCAGAAGCAGUUGCCCCAGAAGAGCCUGAAGGAGCAGGACCUGCAGGUAGCAGCUGAGCCCUUAGCAGCAUGGUGUGUGGCUGGUAGGAGAGGUAUCUUGCUGGGCUCCAGGAUCCCCUGCAAGAGGCUGUGGCCAGCAGGAGGAUCUGAGCAGUGACCUGAGGGAUCCUAGCUUGGCUUCCAGCUUCUCCAAUCAGAGGCCAGGCAGCUCGACGCAAGGCUGGGGCGCCAGGAAGGUGAAGACCCUUGGUAGCUUGGAGCAGUACCAGCACUGGUGGCUGCGUGGCAGUGUUUCUGCCUACCCCAUGGGACAUCCAAGGUCAAGUCCCAGCUUUGGUGACUUGGAGUGAGUGAGCUAACAAGGAAAUAUGUCUCUUGUAGUGGAAAAGGACCAUUGUGUUUUUCCCCUUUCCAGGAGCAGAUUCCCCUCCCAGAGGAUGGUCACAGGGACCCAGGCCAGCCUCCCGCUCACCAGAGAGGCUAGCACCCAGGCAGAGGGACCCUGGCACGCAGACACUUCCAUGCAGACCUGGGCUGUCGGCCUGGCUGAGGUGGGGUGCCAGGCUGGCUAAGGGCCCAAAUCUGAGGCGAGCACCCAGACCCAGGGGCAUCAUGGUCCAAAAUGGAGAAGACAGGGGGAAAGGAGAUGAACAGCUGAACUCCUUCCCUCCCCGCGCACCCCUGUCCUCCCCUCCCUCCAUCCUCCCCUGCCUGAUCUGGGAUGGGUCCACAGGAUGCCAGCGUUGGUGAUUCUGCCUCUCUGAGCAUGCAGAAGCCUGUCCUCUCAAGCCAUCCUCACAAGGUUUCCUUCCUGUGAAGUAGUGUGUCGUUCCUGAUGCACAAGGUCAUUCCCAUGUUACAAGAAGACAUUCAUAGUCCUCUUGCUUCAAAAGCAAGUCCCACAGUGAUGGGUGAAUGGCGAUGGGCGCAGACAUGUAUGAUUACCAGAAGCCCCUGGUCACGGACCUUCCCCUAGUCAUGGACCUGCACAUACAGAGCCAAUGACUGGAUGAUGAUGAUUUGUAAUUUGAAUUGACACAGGUGUGUAAUUAGGCAGCUGCAAUUAUACCCCUCCUCCUCAUACCCUUCCUCAUCUUUGACAUAAAUAGGCUAGAUUAAGAGUCUACAAACAACUGCUUAUAAUCAAUUCACUACCAAUUUUUGAGGUUAUUAAUGACCCCCAGAGACCAAGGCUUAUAUCGAGAAGGCCAUUUUGAUAUUAAGGAAAAUGGAUCCAGCAAUGGGAGAAAAUUGACAUAAUUAAUACAUUUAUUUUCAUGGACCCCACAUCUAAACCUCCUGGUUCCCUUUUCCUAAGGCAGAGCUGGACUACACUGAACAAGGUUCAUAGUGGAAAACUACCUACUUUGUAAAUGGAAUUGUAUUAAAGCCCCCAAGUACAAGUGUGACAAAAUCCAACCUGUAUCACAUAUCACAGAGGACUGUCCUAUCUGUCUUUGUCAUGAUUGCAUUGUAAACCUACACCAGGCUGCUGAUGUUGCCUCUCCAUGAGCAUCAUACCUGAAACUCACUCUCGCCUUAUCCUUCAGUGACAUUGCUGAUAGGAUGCUUAGAGCUUGUUCUGUUAUUCGGAUGCUGUAUUGCAUAGGAAUCAAAGCAAAAAAUGGAAACUGUUGUGCAAAACCUCUGUUUACAAUGCUGGCUCCUAACUGACUCUAUUAUCAUGCAUUGCAAAGCCCACCUCAGCAUGGCUAUGACCCGAGCAGUGCAGGAACCUGGCUACUAUAACGGCCGUAGCAGAAACGCUCACUUUGUGGCACGGUCAGAUCCUGGCAAUCUGCAGGUUCUGCUGAAUCCCUGUCAUCGACUGUCUCAGGCAGGACACGAGAAGAGGAGGAGAAGACAACCAGCCCCAAAGGCUGCUGGAUAGAUCCUUGUUUGAUAUGUCCCCCCAUGCCCAUCCGCUUGGACACAAAAUGAUGUCAGCAAAAGAAGCAACCAAAGAAGAGGUUCAAUAUCAAGUGCUUUAAAACCUGCUAAAAGACAUCACCUCCAGCAGUGCCUGAGGGAGAAACGUGCCAAGUGCCCUGAUGCUCUUGACACCACUGAUCACUCAGGAAAGAGCAAGAGCUUCAAGAAAGGCAUCCAUUAGCCAUGUCAACCAUCCAAGGCUUCUCCACAAACAAAUGUCAGGACUGGUUCAAGUUCAUGUCUUUCAAAUAGACAGAAGACACAACGACAUCAACUUUAAAUCGAAGUGCCUGUAUCAGUGAUCUUCAGUACAGAUAAUUCAUUCAAUGGCCCCUUCCAAAUGGACAGUUUCGCAAACAUAGAUGAAGUAUGGUUUUCCCUUUUUGCGUGUGUUAGAAAAGACUCCACUGAAUAAAUGUUUAAUGUGGAGCA
Alligator mississippiensis (American alligator) is the source of this 3769-nucleotide long non-coding RNA. RefSeq lists it as uncharacterized. Lineage: Eukaryota; Metazoa; Chordata; Crocodylia; Alligatoridae. The record is from RefSeq and is a predicted model, not a curated record. The transcript has 4 exons.